Molecule: non-coding RNA, 353 nt
Organism: Xyrichtys novacula (pearly razorfish)
Lineage: Eukaryota; Metazoa; Chordata; Actinopteri; Labriformes; Labridae
Source: the annotation of a GenBank genome assembly
UCAACCUGUUGUUGUUUAUUUUUUGUUAUGUUGUUUCUUGGAGUGUUUGGAUCACAACAGGGGACGCCUUCUAUUCCGUACGUUGUCAUCAUCUGAUCAUUUCAGUUCUUAAAGUUUCAAGACUGGAAACCCUGAAAGUGCAAAGACAUUACAUCAACCAGGAAUCACAAGAUAUCAGUGAGUAAUCCAAAUCAUCCUGGAAUAAGAAUUUCUAUUAGGUAUCUGAUCUUCAUUUUUUGUUUGUUUUCUUUAGAUCACAUUAACAUACAUGCUAACAGCACUGAGCGAACAGCUGAUCUGUGUGAGCCUAUUGAUGCUCUGCAGGACUGAAAAUCAAUACAGCUGAGAGUGAC